GGCCAGACUCCUACGGGAGGCAGCAGUGAGGAAUAUUGGUCAAUGGCCGAGAGGCUGAACCAGCCAAGUCGCGUGAGGGAAGACGGCCCUACGGGUUGUAAACCUCUUUUGUCGGGGAGCAAAAGACGCCACGCGUGGCGUUCCGAGAGUACCCGAAGAAAAAGCAUCGGCUAACUCCGUGCCAGCAGCCGCGGUAAUACGGAGGAUGCGAGCGUUAUCCGGAUUUAUUGGGUUUAAAGGGUGCGCAGGCGGAAGAUAAAGUCAGGGGUAAAAUUGGGAGGCCCAACCUCUUCGAGCCGUUGAAACUGGUUUUCUUGAGUGAGCGAGAAGUAUGCGGAAUGCGCAGUGUAGCGGUGAAAUGCUUAGAUAUUGCGCAGAACUCCGAUUGCGAAGGCAGCAUACCGGCGGCGAUCUGACGCUGAGGCACGAAAGCGUGGGUAUCGAACAGGAUUAGAUACCCUUGUA
Molecule: ribosomal RNA, 465 nt
Filed under: uncultured bacterium
Lineage: Bacteria
Description: bacterial SSU rRNA
Rfam family: Bacterial small subunit ribosomal RNA
Source: RNAcentral